RNAcentral lists this ribosomal RNA (170 nucleotides) under uncultured bacterium. RNAcentral describes it as "partial 16S ribosomal RNA". The record is from RNAcentral.
GUGCCGGUGCUUNUCUGCGGUAACGUCAAAACACCAACGUAUUAAUGUUAAUGCCCUUCCUCCCAACUUAAAGUGCUUUACAAUCCGAAGACCUUCUUCACACACGCGGCAUGGCUGGAUCAGGCUUUCGCCCAUUGUCCAAUAUUCCCCACUGCUGCCUCCCGUAGGGA